CAAUAGCGUAUAUUAAAGUUGUUGCAGUUAAAAGCUCGUAGUUGGAUUUCUGGGAGGGUGCCAAUGUCCGCCGAAGCGCGUGCGCAGCGGCGCCCUUCCAUCCUUCUGUUAACGCCUCUUGGCAUUCAUUUGCUGGUGGCGGGCUCAGAUAUUUUACCUUGAGAAAAUUAGAGUGUUUCAGGCAGGCUAUCGCCGGAAUACAUUAGCAUGGAAUAAUGGAAAAGGACUUCAACCUCUUCUGUUGGUCUGAGAGGCUGUAGUAAUGAUUAAUAGGGAUAGUUGGGGGCAUUAGUACUUGACUGUCAGAGGUGAAAUUCUCCGAUUUGUUAAAGACUAACUUAUGCGAAAGCAUUCACCAAGGAUGUCUUCUUUAAUCAAGAACGAAAGUUGGGGGAUCGAAGAUGAUUAGAUACCAU
This 416-nucleotide ribosomal RNA is filed under the name uncultured eukaryote. RNAcentral's name for it is "bacterial SSU rRNA". It matches the Rfam family "Eukaryotic small subunit ribosomal RNA", at positions 592 to 1018 of the family's 1831-position model. The record is from RNAcentral.